Long non-coding RNA from Pomacea canaliculata, 2026 nucleotides. RefSeq lists it as uncharacterized. The transcript is spliced from 3 exons. Lineage: Eukaryota; Metazoa; Mollusca; Gastropoda; Architaenioglossa; Ampullariidae. The record is from RefSeq and is a predicted model, not a curated record.
CCAAUGCCCUUUCUUGUCUGUUUCAGAAUCCUUGGUGACAGGAGUAUCAGAACCUAGAGAAGAAACUCAAGACAUUAGAGAUUGCAGACUUGUGGAAUUCAUCAGGCAACAUCACAAACCUUGAAAAACUUCGACAAGAGUGCAGUGAAGUGAAAAGACUGGUCCCAAUGCAGCAGUCAGAGUCCUCAGACACAUCAGAACACUUUCAGGAUAUUGUAUCUGAUCAUGGUUCAGAUCUUUUAUCUCGGACCCCAAGUGCAGGCCCAAGUCCAACUCACAGGCCCUACUCAGAAGUAGACACUUUGGAAAUGGAGGCAGAUCUGGACUUGCUGCCAACCAAAGAAGAAGUGUGAAACAUAUCAGGGAAAAUGCAAACAUUACCCUUGCUGUCAAAAGAGUUACGAAUGGAAUGGAAGGUAGUGAUUUCUGCCCAAGAUGAUGAAACCAGUGAAGAUGGUGAAACUUUGGAAUCUGAACAUCUGCUUCUAAAUGGUAGUACUGAAGAUGAAGAAACUGCUGUGCACUUACAAAAUUUCAUGGAUAGUUUGACUACAAGACUUCUUGAAAGGACUCGGAGUAGCAGAGCAGCAGCAUCCUUGGAGCACAGUGCACAUGGUAAACAUGAAGAAAAGGAGGUAAAAGUCUCAAAGGGUGGCGACUCCUUUGGUUUGAUAACACAGAGUGGCGAUCCAGUUGCUUCCUUGGCUAAACAGUCCUUGUUACAAGAAAUGUCAGAACCUACUCAGGAACAUUUGUCUGAUCAAAAGAGUGUGGAGUGUUAAACAUGGGAUACUGAGGGUUGGAGUUGUCGUAACUUUAGACAUUUAGAAAAAAGCUUUGUUUCCAGUUGGGUGGGUUAAUUUUAUGCAUUUAUCCAGGGUUUCCCCUUCAAACUUUGUUCAGAAUGUUUUGUAUUGUGACUGCAAUAAACUAGUCUGUUUUCAUGAUGCAAUCAUAGUGUGGGACACAAAAUAGGUAUUUGAACUUACCAAGCACAUACAAACAUGCAUGAAUUCUCAUGUCACAUUUUACAUUGUAUUAACUGAUCUAGUUGCUUUACAAUUUGUUUGUUUUUGCGUUUUUUUUUUUUUUGUUUUUGGUUGGUUUUGCAUGAGUUAGACUCUUUUAUGAAGAUUUUUUUUUUUUGCCUGGUAUUUUGGUUUCUACAGAUUUAUUUGCCCCACAAAAAAGACCUUGCCUAUAUUUUAUUUUUUUUCUAAAACAUUUAUUAUAGAGAGCAUAUUAUAUUUUUGGAUUGCUGUUGCAAGUUAAAACUGCUAAAGCAGAGUUCCUGAGAAAUAGGCUUUGAAGGGUAGUCUCCAUUUUCAGUGUUCCCACAGGUAUAUUCUUGUGUGUGGAUGGGGAAUUUGUAGUCUGGUGGUUUCCAUGCUGAAAUUAAAAGCCCACCUAGCACCAUAAGGCUAAAAAUCAGGUGGCAGAAGUUUGGGCUUUCCCUUUCAAGUGCUAUGUCCUCCACACACAAGGAGCAAGCAACAGUCGACCGCCGCUUAGGCUAUUGUUCUUUUACUUGUUAUUUCUGAGAUGUGUUUUGUCUCAUUUGGGUAUAUCUUGCUACAAGAAACUCUCCAUGGCAGACAUUUUUGUAUUCUUUAAUUUGUACAGUUAUUUCACUACAUUAUGCAUUUAAAUCAGCUGGGUCUUCAACACACUUGCUCUAAGCUACUUAAUCUUAUUUUGUGUUUCGUCCUUGUGUGUGUAUGCACAUGCAUGUAUGGACUGCUUUCAUGUUGUACUCAUAGGCAUAAGUACAUGCAUGCGUGUGCUGUUUUGUGUAUGUGCUAACAUACACUUGUGUGAAUGUCUAAUUCAUUAUGUGUGGAUGAGUGUUAGUACUUCUUGUGGUUGAAUACACAAAACCACUUCUGUGAUAAAAGUACUGACAUGACCAUAACAUUUUGCUGUUUAAAAAUACUUGCAUUGUGAUAUUUGGGGGUCAUUGCAGAUCUGAAUUAUAUUUAGUUGUGGAUUUAUUCCUCAUUAAAAUUUUUCUCAUGUCCUCUUGUCA